Molecule: long non-coding RNA, 282 nt
Filed under: Vigna radiata
Lineage: Eukaryota; Viridiplantae; Streptophyta; Magnoliopsida; Fabales; Fabaceae
Description: long non-coding RNA (VRAD_LNC012072)
Source: RNAcentral
GGCCUGUGUUUAGCCCACUGGUAGCUUUAGUUUUGGUUUGUAAAUGGCCUUUUAUAAAGUCCAAGUAUUUGGAAGAGUCCUUGGUGCUCUUUCCAAAUCUUGGCAACUUUAAUUGCUUUACUUUUUAGCAUAGCUAGACAUAGGAGUAAACUUUAAUUUUGAAUUGCUUAUGUGUUUCGCGUUAGGUGUGACCUUUGUCACAUUAGAGUCCGUACGUUUUUAGGGGUCUUAGAGUCCGUUUUCAUUGUUGUUUCUUUUGAGUCUUGCACUUUGAUUUUAAAA